CCUACGGGAGGCAGCAGUGAGGAAUCUUGGUCAAUGGACGAGAGUCUGAACCAGCCAAGUAGCGUGAAGGAUGACUGCCCUAUGGGCUGUAAACUCCUUUUAUAAAGGAAUAAAACGAGGCACGUGUGCCUUUUUGCAUGUACUUUAUGAAUAAGGAUCGGCUAACUCCGUGCCAGCAGCCGCGGUAAUAUGGAGGAUCCGAGCGUUACCCGGAUUUAUUGGGUUUAAAGGGAACGUAGAUGGGUUGUUAAGUCAGUUGUGAAAGUUUGCGGCUCAACCGUAAAAUUGCAAUUGAUACUGGCAGUCUUGAGUACAGUUGAGGUAGGCGGAAUUCGUGGUGUAGCGGUGAAAUGCUUAGAUAUCAGGAAGAACCCCGAUUGCGAAGGCAGUUCACUGGACUGCAACUGACACUGAGGCUCGAAAGUGUGGGUAUCAAACAGGAUUAGAUACCCGAGUAGUC
This 460-nucleotide ribosomal RNA is filed under the name uncultured bacterium. RNAcentral's name for it is "partial 16S ribosomal RNA". It matches the Rfam family "Bacterial small subunit ribosomal RNA", at positions 338 to 795 of the family's 1533-position model. The record is from RNAcentral.